This 319-nucleotide long non-coding RNA is filed under the name Ananas comosus (pineapple). RNAcentral describes it as "long non-coding RNA (ACOM_LNC037061)". The record is from RNAcentral. Lineage: Eukaryota; Viridiplantae; Streptophyta; Magnoliopsida; Poales; Bromeliaceae.
UGGUCCUCUAAAUUUAAUUUGUUAUAAUUUUUGGCAUGAACUUUAUAAAUUAUUACAAUAAAAUUUCACAAUCCGAUUUAGUUAGCUAAAUAUUAAUGUAUUGCUAAUAUGGUGGUGAUAUAGUAUUGCUGUAAUAGAUGAUGUGACAAUAAUUAAGAUGCCAUAUCAGUUUUAUAUCAAUGAUUUGUCAAUAUUUAGCAAGUUAAAUUAGGUUGUGGGACUUAAUUGUAAUAUUUAUAAAGUUUGAGUUAGAAAUUACAACAAGUUAAUGUUUGAUCACCAAAAUGUCACGUCUUAUAGUGUGAGAACCAAAAAUGUA